This 447-nucleotide ribosomal RNA is filed under the name uncultured bacterium. Its description in RNAcentral is "bacterial SSU rRNA". It matches the Rfam family "Bacterial small subunit ribosomal RNA", at positions 355 to 825 of the family's 1533-position model. The record is from RNAcentral.
UGGGGAAUAUUGCGCAAUGGGCGAAAGCCUGACGCAGCAACGCCGCGUGAGUGAUGAAGGCCUUAGGGUUGUAAAGCUCUUUUACCAGGGAUGAUAAUGACAGUACCUGGAGAAUAAGCUCCGGCUAACUCCGUGCCAGCAGCCGCGGUAAUACGGAGGGAGCUAGCGUUGUUCGGAAUUACUGGGCGUAAAGCGUACGUAGGCGGUGACUCAAGUCAGAGGUGAAAGCCUGGAGCUCAACUCCAGAACUGCCUUUGAAACUAGGUCGCUAGAAUCACGGAGAGGUGAGUGGAAUUCCGAGUGUAGAGGUGAAAUUCGUAGAUAUUCGGAAGAACACCAGUGGCGAAGGCGGCUCACUGGACGUGUAUUGACGCUGAGGUACGAAAGCGUGGGGAGCAAACAGGAUUAGAUACCCACGUAGUCCCUGAGCGGGCUGGCAAGGCGCAU